RNAcentral lists this ribosomal RNA (490 nucleotides) under uncultured bacterium. RNAcentral's name for it is "partial 16S ribosomal RNA". It matches the Rfam family "Bacterial small subunit ribosomal RNA", at positions 30 to 507 of the family's 1533-position model. The record is from RNAcentral.
AUUGAACGCUGGCGGCAGGCCUAACACAUGCAAGUCGAACGGUAACAGGAAGCAGCUUGCUGCUUUGCUGACGAGUGGCGGACGGGUGAGUAAUGUCUGGGAAACUGCCCGAUGGAGGGGGAUAACUACUGGAAACGGUAGCUAAUACCGCAUAACGUCGCAAGCCCAAAGAGGGGGACCUUAGGGCCUCUUGCCAUCGGAUGUGCCCAGAUGGGAUUAGCUAGUAGGUGGGGUAACGGCUCACCUAGGCGACGAUCCCUAGCUGGUCUGAGAGGAUGACCAGCCACACUGGAACUGAGACACGGUCCAGACUCCUACGGGAGGCAGCAGUGGGGAAUAUUGCACAAUGGGCGAAAGCCUGAUGCAGCCAUGCCGCGUGUAUGAAGAAGGCCUUCGGGUUGUAAAGUACUUUCAGCGGGGAGGAAGGGAGUAAAGUUAAUACCUGUGCUCAUUGACGUUACCCGCAGAAGAAGCACCGGCUAACUCCGUG